GACGAACGCUGGCGGCGCGCUUAACACAUGCAAGUCGAACGAUGAAGCCGGAGCUUGCUCUGGUGAAUUAGUGGCGAACGGGUGAGUAACACGUGAGUAACCUGCCCUUGACUCUGGGAUAACUGCGGGAAACUGUAGCUAAUACCGGAUACGACCCUCGGAGGCAUCUCCUGGGGGUGGAAAGAAUUUCGGUCAAGGAUGGACUCGCGGCCUAUCAGCUAGUUGGUGAGGUAAAGGCUCACCAAGGCGACGACGGGUAGCCGGCCUGGGAGGGUGACCGGCCACACCGGGACUGAGACACGGCCCAGACUCCUACGGGAGGCAGCAGUGGGGAAUAUUGCACAAUGGGCGCAAGCUUGAUGCAGCAACGCCGCGUGAGGGAUGACGGCCUUCGGGUUGUAAACCUCUUUUAGCAGGGAAGAAGCGAAAGUGACGGUACCUGCAGAAAAAGCACCGGCUAACUACGUGCCAGCAGCCGCCGUAA
Molecule: ribosomal RNA, 484 nt
Filed under: uncultured bacterium
Lineage: Bacteria
Description: partial 16S ribosomal RNA
Rfam family: Bacterial small subunit ribosomal RNA
Source: RNAcentral